GAUGAACGCUGGCGGCGUGCCUAAUACAUGCAAGUCGAGCGAACAGACGAGGAGCUUGCUCCUCUGACGUUAGCGGCGGACGGGUGAGUAACACGUGGAUAACCUACCUAUAAGACUGGGAUAACUUCGGGAAACCGGAGCUAAUACCGGAUAAUAUAUUGAACCGCAUGGUUCAAUAGUGAAAGACGGUUUUGCUGUCACUUAUAGAUGGAUCCGCGCCGCAUUAGCUAGUUGGUAAGGUAACGGCUUACCAAGGCAACGAUGCGUAGCCGACCUGAGAGGGUGAUCGGCCACACUGGAACUGGGACACGGUCCAGACUCCUACGGGAGGCAGCGGUAGGGAAUCUUCCGCAAUGGGCGAAAGCCUGACGGAGCAACGCCGCGUGAGUGAUGAAGGUCUUCGGAUCGUAAAACUCUGUUAUUAGGGAAGAACAAAUGUGUAAGUAACUAUGCACGUCUUGACGGUACCUAAUCAGAAAGCCACGGCUAACUACGUG
This 497-nucleotide ribosomal RNA is filed under the name uncultured bacterium. RNAcentral's name for it is "partial 16S ribosomal RNA". It matches the Rfam family "Bacterial small subunit ribosomal RNA", at positions 28 to 507 of the family's 1533-position model. The record is from RNAcentral.